This is a long non-coding RNA of Tyto alba (common barn owl), 7594 nucleotides long. RefSeq lists it as uncharacterized. The record is from RefSeq and is a predicted model, not a curated record. The transcript is spliced from 3 exons. NCBI's taxonomy places the organism in Eukaryota, Metazoa, Chordata, Aves, Strigiformes, Tytonidae.
CGAGAGGUGUAAGCCCAAUUUAUAAUCCUUUGUCUUCAAGGAUUUAACGUCUCUUGAGCCUUGUCCUGGCUCAAGACAGCUGGAAAAAUGGAGCAGAGCUUACAACUGCCUCCCCGGGGUCUCCUGGCUGCACUGAGCACUUCCAGCAUCAUCUCACCAGUUUUCAAGACGGGAGGAUGUGACCUGACCCUGGUGUCUGCAGCCAGCAUCACAUUCCCAGGGUCCCUGGGGGAGCACCUCACUCGCAGCCUGCCUCGUGGCUCCACACCCUGGCACUGGAGCAGAGAGAUGGUGUGUUUCCAGUGUGCUGCUUCUCGCGAGCAGUAAUUGCUUUCUGAGGAGUUUGCUCCAUGUUCCCGAGCACCUGCUACGUGGGGAAAUGUGCGCUCUUCCCCUCCUCAAGCUCCUCAAGCGCUUCUGCCUUCAGCUCCCAGCUCUCCCUUCGGGCAGCAGGGAUGUGCCAGGGGAGCGCACAAGGAGAGCAGGAACUUCCAGGCGGCUUCUUCAAAUCACUAAGCUCUUCCUAAGGAUGGUAAAACCCUUCCUAAAUCUGUUGUCCUAAAAGAGGCGGGCAGCCGAGCUUUUCAGGAUUUCUGGUGUGUCCUUACAGAAAGAACCACUAUGCCUCACUCUUGGUUUUCCAGAUUAAAUAAAUUUGUAAGAAGUAGCUGGGAGAUGGGGAGCAGGGGAAGAGGAGGAGCUCAAGGCUGCAGUGGAAACAGCAGCCAGGUAUGACAGAGGGAUGCUUAUUUCUAUCUCCCCCACAAAACCAUGGCACCAAACCUUGAAGUAAUCAGUAUUUUGGGGUGCCUGCUCCAUGGGGCACAUCCCCAGCUGCUGCAGUGCCCAGCCCCGCUGCUCACGGGGGAUUCCUCUGCAGCCCCGGCGGGGCACGGGCUGCGGGGAUGGUGUGAGGCAGCACAACCGAAGGCUUGCAGGCUCCUUCUGUUUUAAUACAUUUAUUGAUUGUGGCGUACACACCAGGAUAUAAUUUAGAAAUCACUCUCCCAGAAUCAAUUAAAGACCUUGCUAGUAAUAUAGGCACCUCUUUUUGUUAAAGCCUUCACCCUUCCCACAAAUUCACACCCCACCGUCCCUGCUCGACUCUUGGGGAAUGCCCAUCUCCCUCCCAGCAGAGGCUGGGUCCCUCUCCAUCCAGGAGCACUGGUGCCAGCAUCUCCUGCCAGCAGACCUGCUGCUUUUCUGGGCACUAGUGCUGCCCCAGCUGCCUCUCAAACCAGCCGUCGGUUACGGGCUGUCACAGAAACAAGAUCUAUAAUCUCCUGGACCCCCUCAUAACGUUCCCUGUGUCCACAGCAAGGUGGGUAAUACGUGCUCGGGAGGUGCCAGUGGCCAGCUCUGUGCCCUUACAUUAAUUAUGAAGAAGUCCUGGGGGGGGGUGGUCCUGGGGGAGUGGGGCUGCAGGCUGGGCACAGAGGCAGUCGGCUGUGCUGCCUGGUUUGGGCAGGGGCAGAGCUAAGGGGGUAAAAGCUCUUCCAGCCUUGCCCUGUGGCUGCUCCAUCGGUGUGAUGAGUUGCCCUGGCGUUAGACCACAGCCCCGGGGGGGUCAGGUGGAGGGGGAUCCUUAAAGAGGGGAAGUGGGGACGGCGCUGCGGGGACGCGGCGCAUCCUCUGGCUUUCAAAUCAAAUGGCAAUUGCCACCACGGGCCAGCAGCGUGCCAGCCGGGUCCGUGCUGACUCUCGAGGGGUGGAUGUGAUGGACCUUCAGCUGAUCGCCCCCGCGGUGGCUUUCUGUGGGGACACAGCCCGGGCUGCCCGGGCCACAGGGACGGUGUUGGCGCUGGAGGCAAACGGCUUCUCGAGCCCAUCAGCUCCUCCUUUUCCCUCCGAUCCUCUCGUGCAGUGCGAGUCGGGCGCAGCUUCCAGGCGAGGGGGGCUCGGACCCGACGAUGUCUCCAAUGCAGCGAAGCGUGGAGGUGGGGGUGGCUGACGCGGCGUGAGCCCGGCUGCCUGCGCCCGUCCAGCUGGGUCACGGUGCAGGUCCUGCAAAGCGGAGGCUGGACUGUUUGUCUGGGGGGAGAACCUGAGAUUUCAAAAUAUAUCUUGCUCCACAGCAGGGUGAUAUACCCCACUUGUUACUCAAACAGUUUGUUACUUGGUAUUCCUGUGCAGUAAGAUACGGGGUGGCCGGAGCAGGCUGCUGUGGUAGGCAUUAAUCUUUGUAUUCUGAUUUUGGCUUUGUUAACAUUAUGGAGUUUAUUCACAAAAUGGAACUAUUACAUCCUUUUAUGAUGGUAAUAUCUCUUCCAAGAUGUAGAGCUUUGACCAUGCCUAAAGAAUUUCUGUGUUCUUCUAUUUUUUUUUUUUUUCACUUUCUUACUGUAGUGAUGAACUUUCAUCAAAAUAAUUGCAGAUUGUUUUUUUUGGUUUUGGUUAUUUUUUUUUUUUUGUGUUUUUUUUUUUUUUUUUUUUAAUCUGUAAAACCUCUUUAGUCAAUCAACACUGUCGCAUGGAAAAGAAGUUGAGGAGAAGGGGAAAGGAAGUCUCCAGGGACAGGAAUACUGGGAUUUGGUUCUUGUCUUUGCUUUCUGUCUCCUGCCCACUGUUAGAGGUGCAUGGACUAAAGUCAGAGCUGGGGUGAAGCAUCCCUGCCCUGUCCAGGCAACGUUACACCCGCAGUGGUGAUGCCAGGAGUUCUCUGGCAUGAGGAAUAAACCCAGCUCAGCUCUUCCUGGGGAGCGGCCUGGUGGAUACCCGGCUCUCCAGUUCCUCCCAUCCCACCAGCAGAAGAAACACAGUGACUACAAAACCACCUUGGGAGGGCUCGUGGCCGGGAAGCUAAAGCCAAGGGGCUGUGGAUGCACUGCAGGCUGCAGACGUCCCGCUGCCCUGGGGCGAAGCUUGCGGGAGCUCGGUAUUUCACAGGGCUGGACAGUUCUUCCUCGCCGAGGUUUGUGAUGCUCCUCAAGGGAUCUCUGUGCUGCAGUAUAACAUCCCUGUAUAGGGAAAUUGCCUUAAGUAAUGGUUUCUGUGGGUUUUUUUUAAGGUAUAUUUAUGAUAUCUUUUAUUGGAAUAGAAUUAAAGUGAAAUUAGAAACUAAAAUAACUUUAAUUACGAACUUCAUGAUUCAGUAUGUUGUAAAUCCUUCAACAUAAUAUUGUGCCAUAAAAAUGCUAUUUUGUGAUAAUUAUUAUUAUUAUAAUUAAUGUUCCUUAAUUGCUAAUGUCGCAGGCAUGUGUUAUCUCCCAGGUUUUCUUGCAGUGUCUCUGGAGGAGCUCCACCACGGGGGGAUGCGGAGGAUCCAGGCGGGUGCCUGGGCGGGCACAGGCUGUGUGUGGGGCGGUGGGUGGGUGUCCGUGCGUCCGAGCGAUGCUGCCAGCUUAUCCCACCCUGCGGUUUGCCUCUGGCUGGCCAGCGGCUCAGCUCUUCCCAGAGAGGAGGUGGCAGUGAGCAGCGAGCAGGGAUAAACGUGAUAAGCUGUGACUAAUGCCUCUGAGCCAGGCUUUGCUGUGGUCUCAGGGGCGCUUGCAGUCGGCCAUGGGCUCCCUCCAACCGGCCGAGAUGAGCUGAGUGCCGUUUGAUGGCUCUGCCUUUGGUUGGGGUGGGAGCACCCCAGCCACCCGUCUGUCCUUGCAGGAUGGGUGCGGGUAUGUUAGUCAUGGCCUGGCUAAGGGGUGAGAGCGCUGCUUGGAGCUGGAAACCCCCUGGGCUUCCCCCUGACUCCCUGCAGAGCCUCUGCUGUGCCAGGGCUGGCUGGUGGAUGUCUGGAGGUGCUCAUCUGUGCGCGGUCCCAUGCCGGCGGUGCCCAGCGUAGGUGGCCUGGCUGCUUCAGGAGUCGCUGGAGCUGCCCUGCUCCUGCAGCCAAGGGCCACAGGGCUUGUUCCGGGGCACUGUGCGUGCCAGGGGCACAGGGUCUCAGCACGGGGUUCCUCCUGGCCACCCUCCUCGCUGCCCUGCCUCGGUUCAGCCCAUAAGCCAUGGAUCCUCAUCCUUAACGAGCUGCCAUUGCUUCAGCUGUGUUAUCCAAAGCGCUGCCCCAUUUAAUGAGACAUUUGGGCUUGUGGCUGGCUGGUUGUUGAACGGCAAAUUUCAGUCAAGCAUUGGGCGACUUCACCUUCCUCUCCUCAUUCCUUGGGUCUAGCCUCUCCUCCUCACCCCCAGCCACUGUUUCGAGAGCGCCAAAGGAGAAUUAAAUUCCCUCCAGUGCCUGCCAGGAGCUGUACAAGAUGCCAGCACCGCGUUGCUGGAAUGAAAACGGAGAGCAAACAUGCCGCUGCAGCCAGCGAGGCAGGAGGAUGCUGUAGGGAACCUGCCUCACUGCGGGCUUGGCUCCCACCGGCUGUUAACACUCGGCCAAGAGCCGGGGAGCCCACAGCAUGGUGAGCUGUGGGUGUGGAGGGAGAUGCAGGGUGUGAGCAAGGGGAACAGGCCGUGGAGAAUAAAGACUGGCCCACAGGGAGGUGAGGAGAAAGCAGCAGGAUGGAAAAGCGGUGGUAUUGAUGCUGUGGCCAGACUGGCGCUUAGCAGUUCUUGUUAGCAUCCUUUAUUCGCUUGGAGGAUGCUGCUGGGGUCUGGGAGGCGGUGGCAGAGAGCGGGUCCUCAGACCCAGGUGUGAGGGAGGAGCAGGGAGCCGAGGGAUGGAAAACGCCUGAUGCCAAGCGCGUGAAUUUUUCAUGUGACCCGGAGGCCUCGCUUGUACCAUCAUGGGGCUGCCUGGGACCAGCUGAGAGUGGGAAGGCAUGAAAACAGCCACUGAGCCACCUGCUUCACAGUGGUGAGUGUUUAUGGGAUGAAGCUGAAACCAGGAUGCAUUUUUAAUGACGCAGGCAGGGCUGGGUUUCUUUAAAUAAGACUAGACAAUGAAUAUGUGCUCCUGAAGCUGUGUAGUGCACCACAAAUGCAUUAUUUACAGCAGCUUCUUCCUUGUCUAUUUUAAUUUUACAUGGGCACUGGAGAAAGGGAAGGGACUCCUUGGUGUCUCAUGGCCGCCCACUUGUUCCGUGUGACAGAGGUGAAUUUCUCAGCUGCUGAAGGAUUUGGUGUUGAGCUAUCCACUGACUUGAGUCGUGAGGGAAACAGCCAGCCUGGGAAUGGAGCCUGGCACCUGGACGUAGGGGCAGCUAUAGCCUGGGGUUUAGUGUGGCUGAUGCAUCACCAGGUCUUAAUUGUGUCAUUUUCUGUCUUCUCCCCAUGCAUGAAAUGGAGGGGUGAUGCUCUUAGAUCGCUGCAACCCCUCCUUGUCCCUUUGCACACUGAGCACAGCAUCUCUCCUGCUGGCACUUGUGGAGGACCAGAAAGCCUUUGGGAAGUGGACGAUGGCACAUGUCAACCUGAUGGUGAGGGAGGAGGUGAAUUGCUCCAUGAAAGGGGUCCUCAGCUGGCCCUGGCGAGGGAGGGCAGGGAGGAUUAAGCAGCAGUACGGUGGGCUAUGGCGGGGGGCGGGGAUGGAGGGGUGCUCCAAAGGACACGGCGUUUCCCCAGAAGGGAUGCUCUGCCUGUUUCCAGCUGGUGACAGGCCAGCCAAGGUGGUGAGCACUGACUUCAGGCUGCUAUUCAGCCCUCAACCAUUGUGUUUCAGAGGUAACACCUUUUGCAAUUAACAGAGGAUCUCCUUAUACCUCAAUUAGAACCGUCGGGUCAAUCUGUCCUGCCUUUUCCCGUCUCCGCAAGACUGGCUGCAAACCUUGCCCAGGUAAGCUGCCACAGGACCCAGCACUGCGGCCACGGCGCUCCGCUGCGUCACGAAAUGCCAUCGGCACUAAACCUUCCGGCGAUGGCACCGCACCCUUCUGCUGGCUGCCGUAAAUCAAAGCAGCCCGUGUAGCCGUGGCUCCCGGCGGGGGGGUGGGUGUCCCCAGGCCACGGCUGGGGCGGCGAUGCCACAUCCGUGGUAGCAGAGAUCCACAUCUUGGAGACUCUCUGCAGAGCUGGGGAGUCGGGCAGUGACUUUCUCUCCUACUUUCAAAGUUGCCCCGACGCAAAGUCUGUGUUUGCACGCUGUGCAGGGACGCCGGGGUUUGGCUCAUCAAGGGCUGCUUGAUUUCCUCGGUGGGGAGCCCUCAGGCUGCUGGGGGGAAGCACAAAGCAGUUCCAGCACUCAUGAGUGGCUGCAAAGGUGGGAUUGGAGUCCAGGAGCUGACGGACACGAGGCCGCUUUCCCCGACACUGCUGGGCCUGGGAGGGUUGAGAUGGCAGCUUGACGGCUUGGAAAAUAGGCUGAGAUGAAGGAAUAUCAAUAUGGAGAGCGAGCUGUUCCUGCUGAACAGCCCCGGGGCAGCUAACGUGAAAUGCUGGUUGUCUCAGAGGAGUUGACAGGUGUCUGCAUCAGGCUUCCUGCUAAUUAAGCGCCGUUGUGAGUCACGGGGCUGAGGGAAGAAGGAGCAGAGGAGGAGCUCAGCGGGUGCAGGUAUGGCCAGGGGGAGUCUCUGCAGGAGCUCCCUGCCCAUCGGGGAAGGACCGGUGCACGCGUGGCUUGUCGGCUAGUGGAUACGCACUCAUCGGGGCAGGCAAGCCUUUUGGGAGCUGGGGAUUGGCUUUGGGAAGAGCAGAGCGAGCUGUCCCACUGAGUGUUCGUCCUCUCCCAUUGCGGCUGUGUGCCUUCCCCUGGGUCCCACGUGCUGGCAGCGAUGCCCAGAUCUCCUGUUACAGACCCAGCAGGAUCCCCCGGAGCAUCUCCAACGACCCCAGCUCCCAUCCCACCAAACCUCCUCCCAAAUCAAAGGGUGCAUCACUGCUGGGGAAACAAGGAUGCUCCUAGACCCCUCUUUCUCCCGAUCCCCCUCAAGACGACCCAUUUUGCCCACAGACCUCUUCCUUCCCAGCCCUGUCUGGGGAGGGAGAUUCUUCCUGUAAUUAAUGGUGGUGCUGCCUGCCCACUGAGGCCUUUAACAGAAAAUUCCCCAUUUUGAGGAACACAAGCAUGGUGGGGGUGAGGAGGGGGCGUCUCACCAACAAUGCUUUGUGGACCCCACUGAUCUGGAGGGUGCCUGUAGCAGCAGGAGCAGGAUAAAAGCCAUGCUGGCAGACAACAAAGUGCCUUCCUUCUCUGGCAGAGCUGGGAGGGGAGGGGCACACACUGCCCUGGUGAUAGCCCCUGUGCCACCCCAGGUCCCUUCCCCAUGUGCCUCUUCAACACCUUUUGCCCGCUGGCCCCUCUUGCCUCUGCAGCUGCGAUCCCCUGAAAAAUGGCUCUAUUCAUUACCCAUUUUAAUUUCACCCUAGAUCCCCAGAGCUCCGCAGACACAGUUUAUUAUCCUGGCUGUCAAGAAGCUUAAAGAGCUUCUGGAAAACUUCGACAAACCCUCUGGUUGAACCCAGCGCUGGGUCCCCAGCCUUUCUGUUCCUGGGUCCUGAGGCAAGGAUGGGAGGAGGGAAAAAAAACCCAUUGCUGACAUCUGGGCAGACCUGAUCCCCUCCUGGAGACCAUGCCCUUUGGGACGGGGCCCUGGGACUGGCUGGGCAGAGCUGAGCUGCAGAGUUUGGGUGUGAAGGUCCCCAAAGCCCACGUCUGGGUUGCAGGCUGUUCUCUGGGCCAGCCAGAUUUCACAGAUUUCACAGCCCCAAAGGCCUCUGGGCUGAGGCCACUGGAUUAUCUCUCAUCCCUAAAUUCUGCUGUUCAGCGCAGGGGGUUUAA